CAGCCGCCGCGGUAACACAGAGGGUGCGAGCGUUAAUCGGAUUUACUGGGCGUAAAGCGUGCGUAGGCGGCUUCUUAAGUCGGAUGUGAAAUCCCUGAGCUUAACUUAGGAAUUGCAUUCGAUACUGGGAAGCUAGAGUAUGGGAGAGGAUGGUAGAAUUCCAGGUGUAGCGGUGAAAUGCGUAGAGAUCUGGAGGAAUACCGAUGGCGAAGGCAGCCAUCUGGCCUAAUACUGACGCUGAGGUACGAAAGCAUGGGGAGCAAACAGGAUUAGAUACCCGGGUAGUCCCUGUCUCUUAUAC
RNAcentral lists this ribosomal RNA (301 nucleotides) under uncultured bacterium. RNAcentral's name for it is "partial 16S ribosomal RNA". It matches the Rfam family "Bacterial small subunit ribosomal RNA", at positions 509 to 807 of the family's 1533-position model. The record is from RNAcentral.